This is an RNA transcript of Gossypium raimondii (Peruvian cotton), 4751 nucleotides long. RefSeq lists it as uncharacterized. Lineage: Eukaryota; Viridiplantae; Streptophyta; Magnoliopsida; Malvales; Malvaceae. The record is from RefSeq and is a predicted model, not a curated record. The transcript is spliced from 19 exons.
GCUUAUACAGUCAUACUUACAGCUAAUACUCACUUACUUUCAUUCUCAAAAUCACUUUUUUCCUUAGCCAACUUUAAAGAAUUUCCAUAAUUUUCUCUCUUUCUUUGUUCUCUGUUCAAAUGUAGUAACGAUUGAAUCGAGGAGGAAAAAGAAGAUCUUAAUUGCUCAAAAAACUCUUUGUUUUUUUUUUUUCUAAUUGGAGUUAAGUUUGACAGACGGUUGUGCGUAGAUUCGGAGUGCAACCUAAGUCCGAUGGCUACAACUUUCAGUCCGGGUCGGAGCCCGGGGGGUUCGAGGCUUCAGUUAGGAGCAGGCAGUGGAGUGUCGAGGCUUAGAUCUUCGUCGCUUAAGAAGCCACCGGAGCCGUUGCGUCGUGCGGUGGCAGAUUGUCUUUCGUCUUCUUCGCCGGCGGCGGUGGCUGGAGGAGUUAGCUCGCAUCACCAAGGGGGUCCUUUGGUUUUUACUGAAGCUUCGAGGACGCUUCGGGACUAUCUGGCAGCUCCCUCAACAACUGACCAGGCUUAUAUCGUUACUUUAGAGCAUACAAUUGCAGAGAGAGAACGCAGCCCAGCUGUGGUGGGAAGGUGCGUGGCACUCCUGAAGCGGUACCUUUUAAGAUAUAAGCCCAGUGAGGAGACGCUGCUGCAAAUAGAUCAGUUUUGUGUAAACUUAAUUGCUGAAUGUGACAUUAGUCUAAAUCGACGGUUGCCACCUUGGUCUCGAUCACUAAAUCAACAAUCUAUUUCAUCAACAUCAACAUCAUCUGCAAGUGCUUCGCCUUUGUUGCCUGUAUCUAGUUUUGCUUCUGCGGCACUUGUAAAAUCGUUAAAUUAUGUGAGAUCCCUAUUGGCUAAACAUAUUCCAAAGCGGUCAUUCCAGCCUGCAGCCUUUGCUGGAGCUACCUUGGCUUCAAGACAGUCGCUUCCUACACUUUCAUCUUUGUUGAGUAGAUCUUUCAAUUCCCAGCUAUGCCCUGUGAACGGUGGAGAAUCUUCAGAGAAGAAAGAUGCUACAAAUUUAUCUGUUUCAAACUUGUCGAACGUUGAGGAAGCUGAUGGAAUAGAGAAUCCUGAAUAUCUUGCACAUGAUGUCUUGAAAUGGCGCUGGCUUGGGGAUCAUCAGUCGUCAUUAUUGUAUUCUGAAAGCGAUCGGUCCGCGAAUAUUCAAGACAUGAGAACACAUAAUUUUGUAGAAGUAGGAGCUGCUGCUUUACUUGUUGGAGACAUGGAAGCUAAAAUGAAGGGUCAACCAUGGAAAUAUUUUGGCACAGCUGAUAUGCCUUAUCUUGAUCAACUCUUACAGCCCUCAUCAGUCACAACAAUUACCAAUUCUGCUGCAGCUCACUCCCACUUGAGAGCAAUAACAGCAUUAAAACGCAGUAAAGGAGGACCUCGUCAAAUAUGGGAUGAUUCUCCAGCAAGCAUGUUUCGCCCACGUGCCCGGCCACUUUUCCAGUACCGUCAUUACAGUGAACAACAACCUCUGCAAUUAAAUCCUGCUGAGGUAUCCGAGGUUAUUGCUGCUGUCUGCUCUGAGACAUCUUCCAGAAGUGCUAAUACCUUGACAGUAUCUUCUAGAUUAAGUUAUAACAGUGGAAAGCAGUCAAUGGAUGUGGCUGUGAGCGUCCUUAUUAAGCUGGUCAUUGACAUGUAUGUCUUGGAUUCUGGAGUUGCUGCUCCCCUUACUCUGUCUAUGCUUGAGGAAAUGCUUAGUUCUCCAAGAGCAGCUUGUAGGGUGCGUGCUUUUGAUUUAAUUAUAAACCUUGCAGUCCAUGCUCACUUGUUGGAGCCAAUGGUAAAUGAUGACAAAUCUGCAAUUGAAGAAGAGUAUGCUCAAGAAUUGCUUCUAAAUAGUGAAGAUCAGUUUACCAUGCAAGGGAUAAGAAAAAUAGAUUCUGCCAAGAAGUUGGGCAACUCCUCAGCCAUUGAUAAAUUUGAAUCUUGGAUUUUAAACAUUUUAUAUGAGAUGCUUCUUCUUCUUGUUCAGACUGUAGAGAAGGAAGAAUCUGUCUGGGCUUCUGCUCUAAGCUGCUUACUGUUUUUUGUCUGUGAUAGAGGCAAAAUCCGGAGAAAUCGAUUAAAAGGACUUGACAUUAGGGUUGUCAAGGCACUUGUAGAGACUAGCCGGUUUAAUUCCUGGGCUGAACUUGUUCACUGCAAGCUUAUUUCUAUCCUAACAAACAUGUUUUAUCAAGUACCUGAUGAAGCUACUACAUCCAUCAUAAGUGCUGCAAGCUUUCUUGUUGACCAGGUUGACCUGAUUGGAGGAAUUGAUUUCAUCUUCAUUGAGUAUUCAUUGGCAACCACAAGAGAAGAAAGAAAACAUCUAUAUUUGGUGCUGUUUGACUAUGUUUUGCAUCAAAUAAAUGAAACAUGCAUAUUGACAGGAGCUUCUGAAUAUAGUCAUGAUGAGAGUCAGCCCAUUGCUAUGCUGCUUGCUUUGGCUGAUGCACCUGAAGCUUUUUAUAUUUCAAUUAAGCUGGGGGUGGAAGGCAUUGGGGAGCUUUUGAGAAGAUCAAUUUCUGCUGCAUUGUCUAGAUACCCUAACAGUGAGCGAUUAAAUAUGCUGUUGGGAAAUAUUACAGAGAAAUUGGAUGCAAUAAUAAGUUCAUUUACUCAUUUGGACAAGGAGUUCUUGCAUCUGAAACAGAUAACUAAAUCCAACAAGUUCAUGGAUGAUAUUGAGGGUUCAUCUGUGCAAAAUGGUGCUGGAAUGAAAGCAAAGCUUGCUUGGACCAUAUUGCAUUCUCUUCUUCAUUCUGAUAGAAUCUCUUAUCGCCAAAAUGGAUAUAUCUGGUUGGGAGAUCUACUUAUUGCUGAAAUAAGUGAGUCAAGGAAUGGGAGUAUAUGGUCUAAUAUCAAGAGCUUGCAGAAUAAAAUUGCUUAUGCCGGUGCUCAUGAUUUCUGUGAUCAUUCUGACAUACCUUUGUCUAUUUGGCUGAUGUGUGGUCUUUUGAAGUCAAAAAACAACAAUAUUAGGUGGGGCUUCUUAUUUGUUCUGGAAAGGCUUCUCAUGCGGUGCAAGUUUUUGUUAGAUGAGAGUGAAAUGCAAAAGUCAAGCGAUACAGAUUUUAGCCCUGAUCAUAGUGAUUCCCGACUUGAGAAAGCAAAUGCGGUGAUUGACAUCAUGAGCCGUGCUUUGUCCUUGGUAGCUAUAAAUGAAACGGACCGCAUAAACAUUUUAAAGAUGUGUGACAUUCUAUUCUCUCAAUUGUGCUUGAAAGUUCCCCAUUCAACUGUGAUGCCAUUUGGUGAAGGAGUAAAACAACCUAAAGUUCUCACCCGCACAGAUGAAAUUAGAAAUACUAGUACUUAUGAGCGCUUACCUAAACAAGCAAGCUGUAGUUGGGACGAAUUGAUGGAAGAAACUGAUAGCAAAUCUGGCUACCACGGUAGUUCUCCAAUACAUGAGAUAGCUUCUAUGGCCGCAUCACUACUCCAAGGACAAGCCAUUGUGCCAAUGCAAUUAGUUGCACGUGUACCAGCUGCUCUGUUAUAUUGGCCUUUGAUUCAACUUGCAGGUGCUGCAACUGACAACAUUGCUCUAGGUGUUGCUGUUGGAAGCAAAGGAAGAGGGAACAUACCUGGUGCUACUUCUGAUAUUCGGGCCACCCUUCUUUUACUUCUAAUUGGUAAAUGUACUGCAGAUCCUAAAGCUUUUCAGGAUGUUGGUGGAGAAGAUUUUUUCAGGGCACUUUUGGAAGAUACUGAUUCCAGGGUGGCAUAUUACUCUUCAGCUUUCCUAUUGAAGAGAAUGAUGACCGAAAAACCAGAAAAGUACCAACACAUGCUACAGAAGCUUGUUUUUAAAGCUCAACAGAGUAACAAUGAAAAGCUGCUUGAGAAUCCAUAUCUUCAGAUGUGCGGGAUUUUUCAGCUGUCAAAUGAUCUUUAAGCUCAGUCGUAGUUGAUGAUUCUUUGCCAAUUUUAAUACACAUUCCUGCAUACUGCAGUGUUCAUUAACCCAACAUUCCUUACAUUUGGCCUGAUUUUUCGAGUCCAUUGUUGAUGCAUGUGAUUCUGUAACCUGCAUAAGACUGUCUGAAAUCAUAAGGUAGUUCAAAACUUAAAAGAGCAAAAUUUUCAAAUUUAGGCUAAGUGUGAGAAAUUCCAAGACUGGCUCCCUUACAAUUAAAGUUACAAGCUGUGAUCAGAUGUCAGAAAGACUUCGUACACUGCUACAUGUGCUCCUAGAUCUGCUAUAAAAGUAGAGAAGGAAUUCCCGGAAAAAAAAUGGAGUGACUGGAGCUAUUAGUUUCAUGGCAUUGAACACAUCUACAGUUAUUCAUGUACUUGACACAAAGCCGAAGAAUUUCUGGGCAACUAGAAGAAACUCCUCCUGGUUCAUAGUUAGAUUAUGCAUGGCCUUCCUUUUUAACUUCAUAUGGUUCAUGGUUGGCUACUUUUUGAAGGCCAUCCUUAGUGAUAAAAGAAAACCUCGACUUAACUCAGGAAGGCCUGUCAGCGGACAAAGGAUACUUAAUUUCCGUUAGAUGUAGGACUGAAUUUCGACCUUGAACGCUAUCCCAGUUGUAGUGAAGGUAUCACCUUGGAUGUCUGUUUUUAAGGGGCAUCUCCAUAGUAUACCUGUUAAGUGUUUUACAUAAUUUUGACAAUGUAAAUAUGUGAAUUUGGCUCUUAUUGUAAAAUUUGUUCUGGGAAUUUUGCUUCAUGUAUAAGUUUUGAUUGUUCCAUUCUAUGAGUUGUUUGUAUAAUAAUCUUCACUGCAAAUCAUUUGUGUAAAAUAUUUCC